AGAAGAGUCUCUGGUUAACACGCUGAGGAACUAAUCCAGAAUGGAUGUGAGAACACAUUCAGAGCCUCCUCUCCUAUACUGGCUGGCAGACUCAACAGGCUGCAGUAGACUUAGGUCUUUAAUUCCUCUAGGUGCUAUAUGAUGAAAUAAAGAUAUCUAAGAACCACAGGAAGCAUUUAUUUUAAAGAGGAUGUAAGUUCUGGAGGAACUGGAUUUUGACAUCCCCACCCCACUGCUCACCCCUUCCCUCCAGGCAAGGAAGACAGCAGCAAGCACCACUCAGGUCAUGCGUGAAGGGUCAUCCGAUACGAGAAAGAGAAAUGCAUGAAGUUGCAGCAUCUUGGGGAACUGUGCACCAAUGGCCAUGGGCUCAGCAGGGGAUAAUGUCUGAGCAGGUACAGUGCAACUUAAAGGACACUGGUGGAAACAUGAAAAAGUGUAAGACAAGAAAGGAGUUUCUUCUUCCAAAAGAUUCUGCAGCUAUCCAUCUGUAGAAAUGACAUAGAAUUAUAUUUCAGACAUCAUCAGCAACUCUUCAUUUCUUGAAAAAUACAUGAAUUCCUAUUGCCCACAGUUCCCAAACAGAACUACUUGAACAGAAAAAUGAGAACUGGGAAGUUAAAUUGGCUUCUUGGUUUUCAUUGUGAAAUACAGCAAAAUGCAGAA
Molecule: long non-coding RNA, 666 nt
Organism: Cygnus olor (mute swan)
Lineage: Eukaryota; Metazoa; Chordata; Aves; Anseriformes; Anatidae
Exons: 5
Source: RefSeq, a predicted model, not a curated record